Molecule: transfer RNA, 87 nt
Filed under: Candidatus Saccharimonadota bacterium
Lineage: Bacteria; Candidatus Saccharimonadota
Description: tRNA-Leu
Rfam family: tRNA
About the family: Transfer RNA (tRNA) molecules are approximately 80 nucleotides in length. Their secondary structure includes four short double-helical elements and three loops (D, anti-codon, and T loops). Further hydrogen bonds mediate the characteristic L-shaped molecular structure. tRNAs have two regions of fundamental functional importance: the anti-codon, which is responsible for specific mRNA codon recognition, and the 3' end, to which the tRNAs corresponding amino acid is attached (by aminoacyl-tRNA synthetases). tRNAs cope with the degeneracy of the genetic code in two manners: having more than one tRNA (with a specific anti-codon) for a particular amino acid; and 'wobble' base-pairing, i.e. permitting non-standard base-pairing at the 3rd anti-codon position.
Source: RNAcentral
GCCCGCUUGGCGGAACUGGUAGACGCGCUAGCUUCAGGUGCUAGUGGUAGCAAUAUCGUGAGAGUUCAAAUCUCUCAGUGGGCACCA